This 556-nucleotide ribosomal RNA is filed under the name Curvularia lunata. Its description in RNAcentral is "eukaryotic LSU rRNA". The stretch from base 178 to 331 matches the Rfam family "5.8S ribosomal RNA". The record is from RNAcentral. Lineage: Eukaryota; Fungi; Ascomycota; Dothideomycetes; Pleosporales; Pleosporaceae.
UGAGGCUGUACGCGGCUGUGCUCUCGGGCCAGUUUUGCGGAGGCUGAAUUAUUUAUUACCCUUGUCUUUUGCGCACUUGUUGUUUCCUGGGCGGGUUCGCCCGCCACCAGGACCACAUCAUAAACCUUUUUUAUGCAGUUGCAAUCAGCGUCAGUAUAACAAAUGUAAAUCAUUUACAACUUUCAACAACGGAUCUCUUGGUUCUGGCAUCGAUGAAGAACGCAGCGAAAUGCGAUACGUAGUGUGAAUUGCAGAAUUCAGUGAAUCAUCGAAUCUUUGAACGCACAUUGCGCCCUUUGGUAUUCCAAAGGGCAUGCCUGUUCGAGCGUCAUUUGUACCCUCAAGCUUUGCUUGGUGUUGGGCGUUUUUUGUCUUUGGUUGCCAAAGACUCGCCUUAAAAGGAUUGGCAGCCGGCCUACUGGUUUCGCAGCGCAGCACAUUUUUGCGCUUGCAAUCAGCAAAAGAGGACGGCAAUCCAUCAAGACUCCUUCUCACGUUUGACCUCGGAUCAGGUAGGGAUACCCGCUGAACUUAAGCAUAUCAAUAAGCGGAGGAA